GGGGCCGUAGUCUAGCCAGGCAUGACGACGGGCUCCAGAUCCGGGUAUAGGUCGUCGGUUCAAUUCCGGCCGGCCCCA
RNAcentral lists this transfer RNA (78 nucleotides) under miscellaneous Crenarchaeota group-6 archaeon AD8-1. RNAcentral describes it as "tRNA-Trp". It matches the Rfam family "tRNA". From Rfam's summary of the family: Transfer RNA (tRNA) molecules are approximately 80 nucleotides in length. Their secondary structure includes four short double-helical elements and three loops (D, anti-codon, and T loops). Lineage: Archaea; Thermoproteati; Candidatus Bathyarchaeota; Bathyarchaeia (SeqCode). The record is from RNAcentral.